This is a non-coding RNA of Parasteatoda tepidariorum (common house spider), 1206 nucleotides long. NCBI's taxonomy places the organism in Eukaryota, Metazoa, Arthropoda, Arachnida, Araneae, Theridiidae. The record is from RefSeq and is a predicted model, not a curated record.
UAGAAGGCAUCUUGCUCAGGAGGAACUGGAUGCAUGGUAUCUGGUGCUCGGUAAUUUCCUGCAUCAUUUUAUGAAACGUGUUUACGUUCUGGCUGCUGAAAGGUUUUUUUUUUUUUUUUUUCCUAAAUAGCAGAAGAUAUUUUUUCAAAAGGAAGUCUACUUCAAAAUAAUCGUAAACUGUGCAAAAGGAAACUUUAGAUCAUAGAACGAUUUGAAGUGGAAAAAUAAGGAUUUCUCAUCCUUCACAUUUAAAUCGGAAUAUUUGGUUACUGUUCGAAUUGAAAUAUCAACAUAAAAUUUACGAUGGUUUUGGCGUUACUUUUUGACAGAAUAUCUUACACGCGUUUUAACAAAUGUUGCAGACGAUUUUUUUUGUUAAAAAAUGAACCAUAUGGAUUUUGGAGUUAUGACUGCAAACGAUAUUUAUAUUUAAAAAAGAAAUACAAACAAUAAAAACCGUUUUCAAAAUGUGUUCAAAAUUUCAAAUUAUUAUGGAUUUAAUUGGAAGAAAUUCGGAACUAUUUCUAAUCAUAAAAGAAAAGAAAAAACUGUAAUAUGCAUCCAUGACGUAUGAAAUAUCAACGAUUUCGAGAACUAAUUGAAUGAAGAAGUCUUCAAGGACAAUGAUUAUACAGAACAGGUUUACCACGUCCCCAGAUGUCCAAAUCUGCCCAUCACAAAAAAAAAUUGCAAAGUUAUGCCAGUUUUUACUAAAUCAUAAUUAUACUAAAAUAAAAAAUGAUGUCAAGGUGUUGGAUUGAAGUUGGAGCAUCAAUAAGGAAAAAGUGGUUGAAUAAGCAUGAAACUCUGAAAUGAGGCGAGGCACAGCGGCAAGUUCAAGAAGGUGAAACAAGCAUCCUUUGCAAUGGCAAUAAGAUCAAAGUGGAGCAGUGAAGAGUUUAACGCUUUUAUCUGUUUCUUGGAUUGUGUGCAUCAUUUUCUGUUUGGUCUUGAAAUAACAAGAGGCGAGUCCUGCAUCGCUCGUUUAUUACCAAAUUGCUGGACGAAUGCUCAAAAGGUUAUUGAAACAAAAGAAAUAAAAUAAGGAGAUGGGCAUUUCAAAGUUUCGUCAAAUAAACAGUCAAGAGUUUGGUCAACUGAGAAAGCUUACAUAGCGGAAAACAAUAUCAACAUCUAUGUUUGUGCAAUAAUGUUAGUAAAUAAAUAAUUUUUGAAAAAAAAAAAAAAAUUCCAAAAUGAGUUACA